Molecule: non-coding RNA, 48 nt
Organism: Schistosoma haematobium
Lineage: Eukaryota; Metazoa; Platyhelminthes; Trematoda; Strigeidida; Schistosomatidae
Source: Rfam
AUCUGGCUGACGAGUCCUAAAUAGGAUGAAACACGCAUCGAACUGGAU